UGGAGCCCAACAGGAGCGACAUGAGAUCACAUGUGGUCGGUACUACUUUCUUACUGUAUCUUUCAUGUGUGUUCUCAGGUCGCCCCUGCAGGGCUUCC
RNAcentral lists this microRNA precursor (98 nucleotides) under Corchorus capsularis. RNAcentral's name for it is "pre miRNA MIR398". It matches the Rfam family "MIR398 microRNA precursor family". Lineage: Eukaryota; Viridiplantae; Streptophyta; Magnoliopsida; Malvales; Malvaceae. The record is from Rfam by way of RNAcentral.